Molecule: ribosomal RNA, 281 nt
Filed under: uncultured bacterium
Lineage: Bacteria
Description: partial 16S ribosomal RNA
Rfam family: Bacterial small subunit ribosomal RNA
Source: RNAcentral
GACGAACGCUGGCGGCGUGCUUAACACAUGCAAGUGGAGCGACGAACCAGGGCUUGCCCUGGGGCAGAGCCGCGAACGGGUGAGUAACACGUGGGUAACGUGCCCCGAUGAUCGGGACAACCCGGGGAAACCCGGCUAAUACCGAAUGUGCUCCCCUCACACCAGUGAGGGAUGGAAAGGAAGCUUCGGCCUCCGCAUCGGGAUCGGCCCGCGGCCCAUUAGCUUGUUGGUGAGGUAACGGCUCACCAAGGCUGCGAUGGGUAGCUGGUCUGAGAGGACGA